GGGUCGUUAGCUCAGUUGGUAGAGCAGUUGGCUUUUAACCAAUUGGUCGUAGGUUCGAAUCCCACACGACCCA
Pseudomonas brenneri is the source of this 73-nucleotide non-coding RNA. Lineage: Bacteria; Pseudomonadati; Pseudomonadota; Gammaproteobacteria; Pseudomonadales; Pseudomonadaceae. The record is from Rfam.